Molecule: long non-coding RNA, 1301 nt
Organism: Lineus longissimus
Lineage: Eukaryota; Metazoa; Nemertea; Pilidiophora; Heteronemertea; Lineidae
Exons: 4
Source: RefSeq, a predicted model, not a curated record
UAAUACUAAGCGUCUGCUAUUGGCUGAUAUUCGUACACACAAUGUUGAUAUCAAUAAUAUUGCAUUCAUAAUAUUAGCGUCGUUUUUAGCGUCCUUUAGCAGAAGAGCGCAAGCGAACUAUAAAUCUGUAUUUUUCAAAGAAGCAAAGGCAGCAAAUCGUAGUAUCUCAACAUGGCCAAAUCAGCCGCAAAAAAGCCCGCAGCAAAGCCAAAGUCUACAUCAAAACCAAAGGCAAAGAAGCCAACAGGAAAAGUCACAAAACGUGCAGGCGGAAAGAAGAAACCCGCGAAGAAGGGAAAGAAGAAAGCACCGGCAAAGAAGUAAACGUAGAGAUUAUGCAAACAACGCCUGCCACCAUGCAAUGUUUGAUAUUUUACUGUAAAGAUCUUAGAGUAGGAACUGCUAUUUCAUCAACAAUGUUUCUGUCUCGUGAGUGUUAUUCCACGAAGCUGCUUCGCGGCGCCAGUGCGGUUUUUUACAAUUUGGCAGACGAUAGUUUGCUGCGGAGCUAAUAUCCGGGACCAACCAAUCAUCUUGCGGGACUGAUUCAAUUCAUGGACUCAACUUUUUUAAUUUAUAUAAUAUAUAUACAAUAUAUAAGCAUAUAUAUUUGUACAGUCAAUCUAUAUUGCGUCAUCGUGUCAUGUGACCCUAGAUUGGUUCAGCAAGCAAUAGGAAAGCACCACGUGACCCCAGAGACUAUUUGAAGGAAUAGUAAGCGUUGCUUAGCAAGCACUGCCUAGCAACAGAGAAACAACGUUGCGUAGCAACAUAUAAAGGUUAGAUAUGAAAGACUUAAAAGGAUAUUCCAGCAUCUUGUCCCUGGUCUUUGUCUCAGGGCACCGCACAAUUUGUGAAUUUAUACUCAGUGCAUUUUUAUGGACAGGGACGAGGUUGUGGAUGAAUUGAUCACGUUUGGGAGGCAUGGAGUUCGAACACGCGUUGGUUUGCCACGUAAACCAGGUGAUUGGAGGAAAUUUGGACAGAUACUUCAACAAUCUCACGCCAGGCAUCGGUUGACAUAGCAACCCAGAGAAUUUUUGAACUUUCUAGAUAUUGGUCACGUGGUUUGACGGAUUAUUAGAUUGCUCGAUCAGAAUACAUCGCCUGUUCAGCAACUGGUUUUGAGGGACGAUUUCGUCUUGCAUAAUACCACUGAGUACAAAUAUUAUUCUUCAAACCCAGUUGCUGGAUUUGGUUCAUUUUGAAUAAAUCAUAAUUGGACCAGCCAACUCCAUUAUAGGGCUCACUGUACGGAUGUAUAAUAAAGUGUCUUAUUCAUCACCAUAAUUAUCAUCAAA